GCGGUGUUGGUUCAACAGUAGAAUCCGAGGUUGCCAGCCUCGAGACCCCGGUGCGACUCCGGGACGCCGCU
RNAcentral lists this transfer RNA (71 nucleotides) under Polyangiaceae bacterium. It matches the Rfam family "tRNA". Rfam says of the family: Transfer RNA (tRNA) molecules are approximately 80 nucleotides in length. Their secondary structure includes four short double-helical elements and three loops (D, anti-codon, and T loops). Lineage: Bacteria; Pseudomonadati; Myxococcota; Polyangiales; Polyangiaceae. The record is from Rfam by way of RNAcentral.